This 429-nucleotide ribosomal RNA is filed under the name Triticum aestivum (bread wheat). Its description in RNAcentral is "partial small subunit ribosomal RNA". Lineage: Eukaryota; Viridiplantae; Streptophyta; Magnoliopsida; Poales; Poaceae. The record is from RNAcentral.
AUGGACGGCGAGGUCCUCACCGCCUUUGACGUCUGCUGCUUCCCGGUCUGGUGCCCCUGCUACGUGCACGAGCACAAGGAGGGCACCCAGGCCUGCCUCCAGCGCUUCUGCCAGCUCGACCGCAGCGCAAAGGGCUUCAUCUCCGAGGACAAGUACCUCUCCGUCCCGGAGUUCUCCACCAACCCGCUCUCCCAGCCGCCGGAGCUCUGCUUUCAGUGCUGUCAUUCCGAUUCAGAGAUGCAGGAAGAACAGCUGACGGGCGCCCCCGAGGUGGUCAUGUGGGAUCCUCUCGAACAGCUCGUGCUCGCUGUCGACUUCGAUGGCAGGGUCACCCGCUCCAUCGCCCCCCUCUCCGGAGGGAUGUACUACUCGGAUUUCAUCCCCUACGUCAACUCAUACACAGAGAUCUACAUGUACUACUCGGAUUAA